UUGAGCCUGGUCUCUCUUGCCUGGAGGUGU
Molecule: non-coding RNA, 30 nt
Filed under: Mus musculus (house mouse)
Lineage: Eukaryota; Metazoa; Chordata; Mammalia; Rodentia; Muridae
Source: RNAcentral